AUUGAGCGCUGGCGGCAUGCCUUACACAUGCAAGUCGAACGGUAACAGGUCUUCGGAUGCUGACGAGUGGCGAACGGGUGAGUAAUACAUCGGAACGUGCCUAGUAGUGGGGGAUAACUACUCGAAAGAGUGGCUAAUACCGCAUGAGAUCUACGGAUGAAAGUAGGGGAUCGCAAGACCUUGUGCUACUAGAGCGGCCGAUGGCAGAUUAGGUAGUUGGUGGGAUAAAAGCUUACCAAGCCGACGAUCUGUAGCUGGUCUGAGAGGACGAUCAGCCACACUGGGACUGAGACACGGCCCAGACUCCUACGGGAGGCAGCAGUGGGGAAUUUUGGACAAUGGGCGAAAGCCUGAUCCAGCAAUGCCGCGUGCAGGAUGAAGGCCUUCGGGUUGUAAACUGCUUUUGUACGGAACGAAAAGCCCCGGGUUAAUACCCUGGGGUCAUGACGGUACCGUAAGAAUAAGCAUCGGCUAACUACGUGCCAGCCGCCGCGGUAA
RNAcentral lists this ribosomal RNA (498 nucleotides) under uncultured bacterium. Its description in RNAcentral is "partial 16S ribosomal RNA". It matches the Rfam family "Bacterial small subunit ribosomal RNA", at positions 30 to 523 of the family's 1533-position model. The record is from RNAcentral.